CCGGAGCUGCCGGCACGCGCUGACCUGGCGCCCUUCCGCUGGCUAGAUUUGGUUCGGCUCUUCGACCCCCAUUUCUGUCGGGCACCAGCUGUGAUGUCGCCUCCAGAGUCUCCUAUAGUGGUGGCGUGAAUGGCAUGAGAAAGAAACGUGGUCAGAUUUAGUGUGGAAUUUUCCACCAUAUUGUGACGUUUGAACGAGUGGGAAUGGGGGAAACCGUGGAGGUUGUUGUGUCUUUGCAUUAAUUUAUGCCAUCAUUGUACUGUUCAAUCGGCCAUGUUGCCCUUCUAGACUUACUAAAGCUAAUUCUUCUCACUUUCUGUCAGGAAACUCUUCUAAGCAUCAACUCGUUCAUACCAAGAAAACCAUGGUGAUGUUAGUUUUCUCACAUCAAGAUUGAGCAAUGGUGGCGGAAGCAUCACACUGGAUGUCAAUUAAGUUUGUCCACAUGGUACCAGCUUAUCUUCUUGCAAAAGGACUUGGUUUUCUAAGAAACAAUGCUUUGGCAACAUUGUUUGCUUUGAGGUAAAUGAAAUUUAACUGCGCUUCCAAUCCUGUAUUGAUAUAUCCAUCACUUUUGAUUUUACAUUGGGAAAAGGUAAUCUGGAUUCAGUACCAAGCAUUUGAGGCCCCGCUCGGUAAAUGGUGUUUCUGUGAAAUCUUGAUAUUUAGUGAUGCGAAGGUUGCAAAUAGGUAUAUGAAGUUUUUUUUUUCGCUUUGCUUAAAUGGGUGAGACGAUAAAAGAUAUAUGAAGGUUGGCUUGAUGACACUGAAUAUUAAUAUAUUACUAUUAUCUUACUUAGAGUGAGCAAUGCUUUUUUAUUGUGCUUUACACUUUGCCUAUGACUUAUUUCUGGACUUAUACUUUUAUAUGAAGGUAUUUUUUUCGCUUUGCUGAAAUGGGUGAGAUGAUAUAAGAUAUAUGAAGGUUGGCUCGAUGACACUGAAUAUUAAUAUAUUAUUAUCUUACUUAGGUGUGAGCAAUGCACAUUUUCUUGCUUUGCGUGCUACCACCAAAUAUUAAUAGAAUGAAUGAGAAGUCAUCUAUUUAUCCAUUCUCAAAAUUGUUCAAAAUUUGGCAAUUAUGUGUCUAAAAGCUAUUUCAGUUAUAGAAGUUGAAUAUUUUCACACGCUCUUUUUUACCGCCACAGCGAAGCAUGCCUUCCCUCCUAUUCCUCUAAACUGUAUUGUAUGUGGGGUUAGCUGGAAUGGCUCUCAGCGAUUGGCUGCGUAGGUGAGGUCAACUGGUGGCCCUUCAUGUCGGUGUGUCGUGGUGGGCAUGUGCCAGUCGACAUGUGCUCCAUCGAGUAUUGAGGAAAUGCUCGCGUGGGGAUCCGAGCAUGUAGACGAUGGAGGAGGACAUUGG
Lolium rigidum is the source of this 1363-nucleotide long non-coding RNA. RefSeq lists it as uncharacterized. The record is from RefSeq and is a predicted model, not a curated record. The transcript is spliced from 3 exons. Lineage: Eukaryota; Viridiplantae; Streptophyta; Magnoliopsida; Poales; Poaceae.